GUCCAUAAUGAUAAUUUUGUCCCAGGGCUUAUAGCCCAGGUGGGUGGAUCUCGCCCCCCCCCCCCCCCCCCCCCCCCCCCCCCCCCCCAGUUUCCCCGCUCUCUAUCUUUCUGCGAUUUUUCCUCCCAUGGCCUCUCUCUCUUAUCCGCAUCUGCAGCCAAAUCAAGCGCGGGAAGAAACAAGUCUCCAAGUCCGACAAGCAUCUCCAGGAGGCUCAAGCUCUUUCUCGGUUAAUUGACUAGGAAAUCCUCCAAAAAGCAGUUUAAGCUAGCCACCAAAUGUUGAGGUUCCCAGCAAACUCAAGCUGUUUCUCGGCUUUUGUAUCUUCUCCAGCCUUAACCAUUGUUUUUGUGACCAACGGCAACCAAUGACGACCCAUCAAAGCCCAACAAUGGCAACUGUUCUUACCUUCACUGACGGCCCGAACGACACCCAACGACGGCAACUGUUCUUAUACCUUUGCCGACGACCCCAACAACGCCUAAAGACGGCCCAACGGCGACGACCAGAUCCAGCGUGAAAGAGUUCAAUCUAGGUUUCCGGCCAAAACCCACAGUUCAAUCUAGGGUUUUCGGCCAAAACCUGACCACCACCAUAGCCUUCGCCGUCGAUUUGGAGUGACAGAAGGACGGAGAGAGACCCAGCGUGAGAGAGAGAGCGAGAGUGACAAAGGGAGGGAGAGAGCGAGAGAAGCCAAGCGAGGGUUCCGUACUCGCUCGUCCUAGCGAGGUUUCCGCACCUCGCUUGCCAUGGCAAGGUGUGACGCGAGACUACUGGGAGGCGGAUUUGAGGGUUUUGCUCGGGUAACAGGCGAGGUUGAGGGAUAAGAAAUUCUGCUGGAGAUGCUAAAACCGGGAAGCUGAAGCAACUCGCCAUCGAGGAUGACUUCGAUCUAGAUCUCUCCAGGUCCGUUCUUCCACCAGCGACCACAAUCCAAGCUCAUCAUCUUCCAGCCCAACAAGCGCAUGAAAAAGCAAGGAAGGAGAGUGUCACAUGCCAACUGGUAGUACGCCAAAGCGGAUCUGUCAUUAACUAAAUGGCACUGUAAAGUAGGUACUGGAUUGGUAAACCAAGACAGCAAAGACGUCCGCAACAAGAACAAAGACUGAACUUCUUGCACCAGCCUCAGAGGAAAUCAACCACAACUGGAUAACAAACCUUUUGGCAUCUAUAACUUCCAAUUUAAAUACUUUUGCUUUCUCUAACUCGCACGAACUCUACUCUAGGUCUUUUGUAAGCAUAUAUAAACCUAUAACCAAAGUCGUGCAGUUAAUGUAGAUGACAUACUUAUGUAUAUCAAACACUUGAUCAAACUUAUGCGUACAACUUUGGUUACAUUCAUUCAUAUUUAUAAUUUCAAAAGCAUUCAAA
Rhododendron vialii is the source of this 1371-nucleotide long non-coding RNA. RefSeq lists it as uncharacterized. NCBI's taxonomy places the organism in Eukaryota, Viridiplantae, Streptophyta, Magnoliopsida, Ericales, Ericaceae. The transcript has 2 exons. The record is from RefSeq and is a predicted model, not a curated record.